Molecule: long non-coding RNA, 494 nt
Organism: Lacerta agilis (Sand lizard)
Lineage: Eukaryota; Metazoa; Chordata; Lepidosauria; Squamata; Lacertidae
Exons: 2
Source: RefSeq, a predicted model, not a curated record
UCUCACUCCUGUCAGCAACUGUGCUGCAAGCGUUCUGCACUCAAUGCAGCUUCUGGAUUAAGCAUAAGGGAAGCCCCACGUAGAGCGCAUUGUAGAGAUCCAGUCUUGAAAGCAACCGCAGCAUGAGAGCAUUCCACAGUUUUGCAACUUCAACCCACAAUGAGCAACUUUCAGCUGAAGGUACUUUGCCACCAGAUCUCUUGUCUUCAUAUGCAAAACACGUGAUGAGCAGAAAGAUCUUGGCCCUACCUGCAAGCCAGCUUUGUGAGAAAGAAGACCUACAGUCCUUAGAUCCGGGACAAGGGGGCUAUGGUGGUAUGGAGGCUUCCUUCGGUGAAAUUGACAGGAAUGGGGCUUGGAGGAGACCACAAUGGGUUAAACGCCUGGGCUUCUUUCUUCCUUUGUUUUGAGAGAUUGUCUGCAGAGUAUAACCAGCUUGUUGCGACUGCCUCCUGCUAUUUUUGCACAGAUUAUAUUAAAGUUCACCGUUCUUA